CAUUCCUACGGGACGCAGCAGUGGGGAAUAUUGCACAAUGGGGGGAACCCUGAUGCAGCGACGCCGCGUGGGUGAAGAAGUUAUUCGUGACGUAAAGCCCUAUCAGCAGGGAAGAAAAUGACGGUACCUGACUAAGAAGCCCCGGCUAACUACGUGCCAGCAGCCGCGGUAAUACGUAGGGGGCAAGCGUUAUCCGGAUUUACUGGGUGUAAAGGGAGCGUAGACGGCGGCGCAAGUCCGGAGUGAAAGCCCACGGCCCAACCGUGGUACUGCUCUGGAAACUGCGCGGCUUG
RNAcentral lists this ribosomal RNA (293 nucleotides) under uncultured bacterium. RNAcentral describes it as "partial 16S ribosomal RNA". It matches the Rfam family "Bacterial small subunit ribosomal RNA", at positions 334 to 644 of the family's 1533-position model. The record is from RNAcentral.